CGGAUAGAUCAUAAAUGCUGGAAUGCUUUAUGAUUGAAAGGUUUCGACCGCCUUAGGAUGGAUCUGCGGCCUAUCAGGUUGUAGUGGGUGUAAUGUACCUACUAGCCUACGACGGGUACGGGUUGUGGAAGCAAGAGCCCGGAGAUGGAUUCUGAGACAUGAAUCCAGGCCCUACGGGGCGCAGCAGGCGCGAAAACUUUACAAUGCGGGAAACCGUGAUAAGGGAACACUGAGUGCUAGCAUUUAUGUUAGCUGUCCACAUGUGUAAAUAGCAUGUGAUAGCAAGGGCUGGGCAAGACCGGUGCCAGCCGCCGCGGUAACACCGGCAGCCCGAGUGGUGAUCACUAUUAUUGGGUCUAAAGGGUCCGUAGCCGGUUUAAUCAGUCUUCUGGGAAAUCUAAUCGCUUAACUAUUAGGCUUCCAGGGGAUACUGUUAGACUUGGGACCGGGAGAGGUAAGAGGUACUGCAGGGGUAGGAGUGAAAUCUUGUAAUCCCUGUGAGAC
This 504-nucleotide ribosomal RNA is filed under the name uncultured archaeon. Its description in RNAcentral is "bacterial SSU rRNA". It matches the Rfam family "Archaeal small subunit ribosomal RNA", at positions 153 to 657 of the family's 1478-position model. The record is from RNAcentral.